UUUAGAUAAGCUAGGAGGAAUUUUUUCACUCAAAUGGUGGUUAGGCACUGGAACAGGUUGCCCAGAGAAGCUGUGGAUGCCCCAUCCCUGGAAGUGUUCAAGGCCAGGUUGGAUGGGGCUUUGGGCAACCUGAUCU
Molecule: long non-coding RNA, 136 nt
Organism: Oxyura jamaicensis (ruddy duck)
Lineage: Eukaryota; Metazoa; Chordata; Aves; Anseriformes; Anatidae
Exons: 3
Source: RefSeq, a predicted model, not a curated record